Molecule: long non-coding RNA, 457 nt
Filed under: Homo sapiens (human)
Lineage: Eukaryota; Metazoa; Chordata; Mammalia; Primates; Hominidae
Description: non-protein coding lnc-VWA8-6:1
Source: RNAcentral
CCAGCAGCUCAGCUGCCAGCACCAGCAGCUCAGCUGCCAGCACCAGCAGCUCAGCUGCCAGCACCAGCAGCUCAGCUGCCAGCACCAGCAGCUCAGCUGCCAGCAGUGGCCCCACCCACUGCAGUUGAGUCUCCUGCUGCUGCAUCCUGGCAGCCAGGUCUGAUGGUCCAGAUGGCAACCACUGCAGCUGGCGUGGCUGUGGGCCCUGCUGUGGGGCAUAUACUGGGUCAACUAUCAUGGGAAUGGGGUGGCUUAAACAGAGGAAGUAAUGCUGGGCUCACAAGGCCUGACAUCACUUACCAGGAGCCUCUGGGAGACUAGCUGCACAGCAGCAGCAGCCUUGCUUGUAUAAGACAGAACAGUUUCUGGAGUGUUCCCAGAACUAGGGUGAUGUCAAGCUCAGUGAGGGUUCCAAGGAGGUGCUGAAACAGUGCAGACGUGCACAUGGACUGGCCUA